This 465-nucleotide ribosomal RNA is filed under the name Vreelandella stevensii. Its description in RNAcentral is "partial 16S ribosomal RNA". It matches the Rfam family "Bacterial small subunit ribosomal RNA", at positions 338 to 795 of the family's 1533-position model. The record is from RNAcentral. Lineage: Bacteria; Pseudomonadati; Pseudomonadota; Gammaproteobacteria; Oceanospirillales; Halomonadaceae.
CCUACGGGUGGCAGCAGUGGGGAAUAUUGGACAAUGGGCGAAAGCCUGAUCCAGCCAUGCCGCGUGUGUGAAGAAGGCCUUCGGGUUGUAAAGCACUUUCAGUGGGGAAGAAAGCCUUGGGGCUAAUACCCUCGAGGAAGGACAUCACCCACAGAAGAAGCACCGGCUAACUCCGUGCCAGCAGCCGCGGUAAUACGGAGGGUGCGAGCGUUAAUCGGAAUUACUGGGCGUAAAGCGCGCGUAGGCGGUCUGAUAAGCCGGUUGUGAAAGCCCCGGGCUCAACCUGGGAACGGCAUCCGGAACUGUCUGGCUAGCGUGCAGGAGAGGAAGGUAGAAUUCCCGGUGUAGCGGUGAAAUGCGUAGAGAUCGGGAGGAAUACCAGUGGCGAAGGCGGCCUUCUGGACUGACACUGACGCUGAGGUGCGAAAGCGUGGGUAGCAAACAGGAUUAGAUACCCGGGUAGUC